Sebastes umbrosus (honeycomb rockfish) is the source of this 517-nucleotide long non-coding RNA. RefSeq lists it as uncharacterized. The transcript is spliced from 5 exons. Lineage: Eukaryota; Metazoa; Chordata; Actinopteri; Perciformes; Sebastidae. The record is from RefSeq and is a predicted model, not a curated record.
AGGGCUCUGGAGAGAGGAGUUCUGUCAACAAGCAAGACGGCUGCUAGAGGAACAAAUGCAGUGGGACAUUAUUUGACAUGGAGGAGAGGACGUCGAAAUCUUGCAGCAACUGGAGAGAGGAGUUCUGUCAACAAGCAAGACGGCCGCCACAGUAACAAGUGCAGUGGGACAUCAUUGGACACUUCUUCUUCGACAUGAUUGAGAGGAGAGGACGUCAAAAUGUAGGGGCAGGAAGUGAUCAUCGACUGCUUCAGUUUGGACUCUUGUUUCCACUACGGAUUAAGAAGUGUUCCUCUCUGGAUUUGCACACCAAGGUGUGUACUCCUGAUCAACUACACAUUUAGCGCACUCAGGUCUGCUUAUGGUCCAAUUUGGAGCAGAUUUCCCAAGGCGGUUGGAUCCCAUGGACACGGCCGAGGAGUGACGACUGAGACAAUUUCAGAGAUGAGGAAUGAGCGCCGCAUCGCUCGCUGCAAGAGAGAGAGAGAGAGAGAGAGAGAGAGAAGGUGGACUAAGG